RNAcentral lists this microRNA (23 nucleotides) under Sus scrofa (pig). Its description in RNAcentral is "ssc-mir201". Lineage: Eukaryota; Metazoa; Chordata; Mammalia; Artiodactyla; Suidae. The record is from RNAcentral.
AGCCACUGCGGAUCCCACUCUCU